AGGCUGAAACUCGCCUGCACGAAGUUGGAGUUGCUAGUAAUCGCAGAUCAGAAUGCUGCGGUGAAUACGUUCCCGGGCCUUGUACACACCGCCCGUCACACCAUGGGAGCCGGUAAUACCCGAAGUCAGUAGUCCAACCUCGUGAGGACGCUGCCGAAGGUAGGAUUGGCGACUGGGGUGAAGUCGUAACAAGGUAUC
Molecule: ribosomal RNA, 198 nt
Filed under: uncultured bacterium
Lineage: Bacteria
Description: partial 16S ribosomal RNA
Rfam family: Bacterial small subunit ribosomal RNA
Source: RNAcentral